This 249-nucleotide ribosomal RNA is filed under the name Triticum aestivum (bread wheat). RNAcentral's name for it is "partial small subunit ribosomal RNA". Lineage: Eukaryota; Viridiplantae; Streptophyta; Magnoliopsida; Poales; Poaceae. The record is from RNAcentral.
AUGAUGCUACCAAAGUCUAAAGGGGGUAUGGGCUUUCGGGAUAUGUGUGCUUUUAACCAAGCUUUGUUAGCAAAACAGGCUUGGCGCUUGUUAGAUAAUCCAGAGAGCUUAUGUGCAUGAUUGAUCAAAGCAAAAUAUUUUCCUCAUGGGAAAUUGUGGGACACAGUGCUCAGUGGCAAUGCUUCGGCUGUGUGGAAAGGUAUUGAGUACGGACUUGAUCUCGUCAAAAAAGGGAUCAUAUGGAGGUAG